UGCAAAUAAACACGCCUAAGUGUUAAUCCGAUUUUGCAUAUAAAUGGUAUUAUUAACAUUCUUAAAAAAAUAAAGAAAAAAAGAAGAAAAAGAAAAAAAAGAAAAAGAAAAAAGAAGUAUUAGGAUAUAAGUUUGUAUGUAUAUAUAUUUAGCUAGGUUUGUAUACAUGUUUUGACAAGUUUGCAUCUAUAUUUAUACAAGCUCGUAUACGCACACACGUUUUGUACACAUACAACACGACGUUGUUAUGUAAAAAAAAAAAAAAAAAAAAUGGACCUGUUCAAAUCCGAAACAAUCAAUUUUUCACUUAGUUAUGAUAUAAGUUAUGUAUGCUGUUUAAACAAUUAUCUUUACAUUUGUUUAAAAGAUGGUAGUAUAAACCAUUAUGAAUUAGAAAAAGGUAAAUCACAUUGUGGUAGUGUUGAAAUAACAUGUGUAAACAGUUGCAUAAUUAAAAAAAAUAAAGAAAUAAGAAAAUUAAUAGUGGUUGAAGAUGAACGUACAGGUGGAAUUAUUCUUUUACUUUUAGUUGAUGAUGAAUUAUAUGUUGUUAAAAAUAACAAUUUCAAAAAUCCCAUUUUAAUUAAUAAAAAUGUAACACGUUUCACCGUAAAUGAAUAUAAUAAACUUGAGUUGUUGUUGUAUAGUAAAAAAAGAAAAAAAUUGGUUUGGUAUAAAUAUGAUAACAAUGAAACAUACAAAUCAUAUAAAGAAAUAAAUGCUGGUAUAGAAGAAAUAAGUUAUUUUUUAUUAAUAAAUAAUUCUUUAUUUUUAUGUAUUAAUAAAAAUUAUUAUAUUCAAAAUUUAAAAAAAAAUGAAAACGUGUUAAUAUAUAGUCAUGAAUUUGAUAUAACUUAUAAAUAUAUAACACUUAUAGAUAAAAAAGAAAUAUUUAUUGUAUGUGAUUUUAAUAUUGGUGUUUUUUAUGAUGUUGCCACUUCAUUACCUUCACGUAAAAAUACUAUAAACUUACCUGCAAACAUAAGAAAAAUAAAUUCAUUUCAUUUUUUUUUAUGUUGUUUAAAUACCAACGGUAUACUUCAUAUCUAUAAUACUAAUAAUCAACAACAUGUGCAAACAAUAUCUUUGAAUAAUAAUGACAGCAUAUAUUUAGUUAUAAAUUAUAGUAACUUCAGUAAUUCUUUUUUUUCUUUAUUUAAUUAUGAAAGUGAUGAAAAAACAGACGAAAUAAUGUGUGGAACUGAAAUAGAAAAAGAGGAAAAAUAUAAUAUGAAAGAUUUUGGUAAUGUUGUUACUAGAAUUGACGGUGGCGACGAUAUAAAAGACGUAUAUGAAUAUACAGAUCCAAACCAAGACGAACCUAUCAAUUCUGAAUUAAUGAUUAACAACUAUAACUAUUUUAAAAACAAUAUAUAUUUUGUAAGUAAAAAAUAUAUUCAAAUUGUAAAGUGUAUGAAAUUUUAUCAAUAUUUACCUAAAUGUGUUGAACGAAAUAAAAUUGAGACUGGUUUAUUGUUAAUUCAUAAAUUUAGUUUUGAAAAUGCAACUGAUAAAAAUAAUAUUUUACAUGAUUAUAAUAAGUUGUGUGCUUAUUAUUAUUUUAAUUCUUUAAAUUUUGCACUAGCUUUUUUAUAUUUUCAGCAAGUUAAUAUAAACAUAUUUUUUAUUUUAGCUUUUUGGGAACUUUAUUUUAAUCAAAACGAGGACAAUAAUAGUAGUAGUAAUAGUAGUAGUAGUAAUAGUAGUAGUAGUAGUAGUAGUAGUAGUAAUGGUGCCUCUGUUGAUGGAAAAAAUGGUGUUAACGCAUGUAUAAAAUCUAGUAAUUUGUUUUCUACUAAUACCAGUGAAAGUGAUACUAUCUUUUAUGAUAACAAUGGAUCUGAUGACACUUACUCUUUAAAUGAAUACAUAAACAAACAUUUUAAACAAUACAUACCAAAACUAUGCAGUAUUUCGGAACACAUAGAAAUCAAUUAUUCAAAUUAUGUAAAAAAAAAUAAUUAUUUAUAUAUAGAAACUGAAGAAAGUAAUAAAAAUAGCAACCAUUUACUAAAAAAUGAUGAACUUAGUAAGAAUAUAAAAAAACAACUUCUACAUACUGCUAAUAACUGCUUAAUAAAAUACUUACUUCUAAAAAGAAAUGAAUAUAUCGAAAAAAAAAUAAAAAUAAAAAUACCAACACAUGAGUGGAUACGUUUUACAACAAGAAAAGAAACUAUAAAACAUGGGGGGGAAAGAAAAAAUAAUAUAAACGAUGCAAAUAACACAAACGAUGCAAAUAACACAAACGAUGCAAAUAACACAAAUGACACAAACAAGUGUAGUUAUAUACAUAUAGAUAAACUAAUUGACAAUGUGUUAUUCAAAUUAAUCAUCAUAAAUAAUAAUUCUAUAUACUCCAACUUUAUUAUGAACACUAUAAAUUUAAACCUGAAUAUUAUAGAAUGUGAAAAUAUCUUACAGAAAAAAAAAAAAUUUAUUGAAACAAUUAUGCUGUAUAUAAAAAUUAAACACUUUGAUAAAGUCAUCCAAAUGUGCCAAUUGUUUAUUCAUUAUUGUAAUCUAAAGUGUAACCAUAAAGAAGAAGAAGAAGAAGAAGAAGAAAAAGAAAAAGAAGAAAAAGACAAAGAAGAAGAAAAAGAAGAAGAAGAAGAAAAUUAUGAGAAACAAAUAAUAGGAACAAAUGACAAAACUAAUGACAAAACUAAUGCUGUACCUGUUUAUAAUGUGGAAAAUCUAGUGAAUGUGACAGACACGGAAAAUGUAAAGAGCUUAACUACUCAUGUUAAAAAAAAUUUGGAUAAAAAAGUAGAACAAGAGAAACAGCAAAAGCAAGAUCAAAGGAAUAAGAUAAACCAAUGCUGGAGUCAAUUCUUUGAGCAAAAAACAUUUAAACGAAAAAUAGAGAAUGACCCUCUUUUAUACCCUGUUUUAAAAAACAUAUAUAAAAUUUUAAUAAUAUUACACGAUAAUAUACAUAUGAUAAAUUUAGAACGAAGUGAAUUGAAAAAGUUAUUUGAAUCUUCGUUUUUUUUUUUAAUAAAACAUAAUGAAAAAUUAUUUUUUAAUUUUAUUAUUAAUAAAAAUUUUUUACUAACCCCAGACGAAAUAUUAUGUAUACUUAAAAAAAUUGAAAAACAAAACAAAACAGAUAUAACAGUUAAGAAUUUUAUAAAAAAAUACAUUUUCAAUUAUAUAAAAUAUGAUAAAAAUAAUAAAAACGUUAACACAACUUUGAUUGAAGUAUAUAUGAACAAUUCCAAAAAAAGUAUACAGACUAGGUAUGAAAAAAUAUUAAAAAUUAUACUUUUCGAUUACCCUAUAGAUAUCUAUUAUCUUCUUCGGAUUAUCGAUGAAAGGGAGUUUGGUUUAAUUAAGGCAUUAUUGUAUGGAAAGAUACAUAAGCAUUAGUAAGUUUAAACACAUGCGUGUGUCC
Piliocolobus tephrosceles (Ugandan red Colobus) is the source of this 3397-nucleotide long non-coding RNA. The record is from Ensembl. Lineage: Eukaryota; Metazoa; Chordata; Mammalia; Primates; Cercopithecidae.